GCCAUGAUGAUUCUCUUUUGGCGUGUUAGACUUCUGAUGCAGAUGAAGAGACAUUGAAUCUGAGC
Molecule: small nucleolar RNA, 65 nt
Organism: Pogona vitticeps (central bearded dragon)
Lineage: Eukaryota; Metazoa; Chordata; Lepidosauria; Squamata; Agamidae
Product: small nucleolar RNA, C/D box 104
Source: Ensembl